CAAAAGCAUCCAUUUGAGAGUCUUCUAUCGUCAUUUUUUUUCUCACUUUCUUUUCUUGUUGAAGAUCUAGACACUCGUUCAUUUCUAUUCGACCUUUUCCGGUCGAAAUAUGUGGUAAGGAUCUAGAGGAGAUCAACGCGGUGUCAGCUCCGACAAGCCGAAGAGUUGCUGCUUUGGAAUUCUUGAGGAAGGUAGGGAGAUUUUUGUGAGUCUACUGAACAUGAAGAGGCCCUUCACUGCUAUGAACCCACUGAAUGUGAGAGGCCCUUCACGGUUAUUUCUGAUUUGAAUUAUCGAUUAGGGUUCUUGAUUAGUGGCUUUGGCAUUUCUACUUAAUGAAAUGGCCGAGUUGGUUCCAACUUUUCUCUCAAAUGCAUUUGCAACUAAGGCAGCAGUGUGGUGCAAUGGGUUUAUACGAGGCCUCCGUUCAUGUCGCCUUUGAGGCUUUACUAUGGAUUUGAGGGUCAACUGAUGGUACAUAACUAUUAUCAACAUGGGGGAAAGGAAUGCCAUUCUAUGGGUACUUGCUUCAUGAUUUGUUCGACGGGAUCCAAAGCCCGACAUUAUCUGCCGAAAUGGCCAAUGGUAAUACCACCUUCUCUGCUACUGUUUUGACCAAAAACGGAAGGCCAGAUGAUCAUCACAAAAUUCUGAGCCUUAGUUUGCUUUCUUCCCUCUAUCUAUUCAUUUGUUUUCCACUCUAUCACUAACUUAUUAUUAUCAAUAUUUUUUUUUGGUAGGCAAUAAAUUAUUGCCUAGCAUUUAUAAGCAGCCAAUUGUUUUGAGGUAGAUAGAUAUGAAGGUUUGUUCACGGACUCAUUUCCUGAUAUGAUUUUUGUUGUUCAAUAUAUAUUUGUUAGAUAAACCAAAAUUGGUAAUAGUGUUGUCUUUAAAUUCCAGUAAAAUAUGUUAUUAUAUGUACAUGCAAUGAUGCAAUUAAAAUUAAUCUUACUUAGUGUGGUUGCAGAUUUCAUUGGACGUUCUGAUAGAUAUGGUGGUGGGUUGAAUUAAGUGAUGGAAAAUAAUUGACUAAGUUGAACUAAAUUUGGCGGAAUGAGACAUAGUUGUUGUUUACAUAUUUGGGCUCUGAUGUGUUUUCCCCAUCUCUUCUCUCUUCGCUCCCUCGGCCUCUAUGUGUAUGUGUGUAUCGAACCGUCUUUCGUUGUGAUAUUAUCUUAUUUUUUCUUUAUCUAUGACUGGAAUGCUGAGGGUUGUAGAUUCUAAUUAUGUUAGUAAAUCACUUAUCCAUUAUUAUAACCUUAAGGGUUUUAUAUUAUAGUUAUGUUCUUCUAAAUUCUCUUCCUGUUGUUUUCAUUAUAUUUUUCCCUUGCUGAUUACUGCUAUAAUUGUAUGAUUUUGAGUUCAAGAGGCAUUUUUGGUCUGUAAAGCUAAAAAUAUUAACCAACAAGAGAAAGCAAAUUUUCAGCUACAAACAUUAUGAAUUGAACCUAGAAUAAGAAUUAGAUGGUUUAGAUGUUUUCUUAUUCUUUCCUUUGUUUGACAUUAGAUCUUUAGAGUCAGUUAGUUUAAAUUUAAUCCGUACGUUCUUUUAAACAAUUAAGAACUUCAAAUUGCUUAAGUUUUAGGUAUUUAUUUCUAUUCAUUGGGAAUUGUUUCACAGGCAAACCGAAGAAUAGCAUAAACUCAGGGCUAUGGCAAGGUUGCACUGUUUGCUGUUCCAUUCCAGUGUCUAAUGCAGAUAUUGAGUAGAUAUUUUUCAAAACGAAAUAUCCCUAGCUUCGUCUCAUUGAGAUUUGUGAAAUCCUUCGAAAUUUGCUCUGGAGCCUUCUAAUAGACCUGCAAGUAUGACUUUUAAUGCCAAUUUUUUGAUAUAAUAUCAGUUUGUGCUUUGGAAAACACUUUCGAGUCUAUCUUUUUUUCCCUCCCUCCUACUCAUUUCAGUUAGUUUCCAGAAGAUUAAUACUUAUUUUUCCACUGUUUUCUACAAUGACAUAAAUUUUGUUUUCUUUUGUAUGAGUUCAUGAACUACUGCUUAUUCAUCUGCCAAGGGACAUGUAACUUAUGCUUUCUAUCUUGUAGUAUAAUGUCCUUAUCUACAUCAUCAAUUCAUUACAAUUUGCAAUUCACAAAAUUCAUUAUUUUUCUAUUUUGGGUGUAUCAAUGAGUCUUUGGUUCUUUCCAACAAGGUUUUAUUCAACAUUUGCUCAUUUUGUAGGUUCCACCAUUCAGUGGUUCUUUUCAAAUUUUCGUUUGCAGCUUUCACAUACAAGUGACGUAGGCUUGACAAAAAUUGAUAAGUGAUUUCCUUUUUUCUUUUUCACCUGAAGUUAAU
Molecule: long non-coding RNA, 2293 nt
Filed under: Olea europaea subsp. europaea
Lineage: Eukaryota; Viridiplantae; Streptophyta; Magnoliopsida; Lamiales; Oleaceae
Source: RNAcentral